This 479-nucleotide ribosomal RNA is filed under the name uncultured organism. Its description in RNAcentral is "partial 16S ribosomal RNA". It matches the Rfam family "Bacterial small subunit ribosomal RNA", at positions 331 to 801 of the family's 1533-position model. The record is from RNAcentral.
GUACACUCCUGCGGGAGGCAGCAGUGGGGAAUAUUGCACAAUGGGCGCAAGCCUGAUGCAGCCAUGCCGCGUGUAUGAAGAAGGCCUUCGGGUUGUAAAGUACUUUCAGCGGGGAGGAAGGCGAUAAGGUUAAUAACCUUGUCGAUUGACGUUACCCGCAGAAGAAGCACCGGCUAACUCCGUGCCAGCAGCCGCGGUAAUACGGAGGGUGCAAGCGUUAAUCGGAAUUACUGGGCGUAAAGCGCACGCAGGCGGUCUGUCAAGUCGGAUGUGAAAUCCCCGGGCUCAACCUGGGAACUGCAUUCGAAACUGGCAGGCUAGAGUCUUGUAGAGGGGGGUAGAAUUCCAGUUGUAGCGGUGAAAUGCGUAGAGAUCUGGAGGAAUACCGGUGGCGAAGGCGGCCCCCUGGACAAAGACUGACGCUCAGGUGCGAAAGCGUGGGGAGCAAACAGGAUUAGAAACCCGGGUAGUCCCAUGAU